UGGUAAGUAAGUAAUACUAAUAUAUUGUUAUAAACCUGUUGAAUAGGGGAAAAGUGGCUUAAGUAAAGUGGUAAUAUAUAAAUUAUUUUACUUUUCUAAGUACCUAAUAUCAAUCACAUUUUGAUACAGCAUUCAUAGAGUUAUGAUAACCAAGUACUCAAUAGGCACUCUCUAACUUUAUACGAUCUACAGAAUUUUUUUUUUUUUUAUCA
Non-coding RNA from Cinara cedri, 212 nucleotides. NCBI's taxonomy places the organism in Eukaryota, Metazoa, Arthropoda, Insecta, Hemiptera, Aphididae. The record is from the annotation of a GenBank genome assembly.